CCAAGCUUAGGUUCUCUGAUCGGUUAUCAUUUCAAAGGAGACCUAAGGAUAUUUCAUUAGAUUGCCUUCUACUGUGAUCACAAACAGACACAGUAUGACAUUUUCUUAACACAAUAGAGGCAGCAUUAGCAUGUACUAAGCAACACAUCAUUCUUCUUGAUUGCCCUAUUUGCCUGAAGAGUUCAAAUGAGGCUAACUGCACAGCAGUAAGUAUACAGUCAGUUUCCCUUUUGGCAGUUAUUUUGAAUCUUUCUGAGCAUAUGUUUCCCCCUUAACGUAGGAUACUAAGAUAGGCAGGCAGACCUUUGAAACAGGAUAGAGUACCAUUAGCUAUAUUUCUGCCACUUAGAAUUUCAUGGAACAGAUCCUCCUAGAAGACAUACUAAAGCACAUAGAGGACAGGGAGGUGAUUAGAGACAGGCAGCACGGCUUCACCAGGGGCAGGUCCUGCCUGACCAACCUAGUGGCUUUCUGUGAUGGGAUAACCGCAGCAGUGGACAUGGGAAAACGCAACAGGUUUGUUGCGUGUGAUCUAUCUGGACUUCUGUACAGCCUUUGACACAGCCCCCCACAACAGCCUUUUCUCUCUAAAUUGGAGAGAGAAGGAGUGGACUCUUUGCUGGAUAAGAAGCUGAUUUGAUGGUCGUAGUUGGAGAGUAGUGGUCAAUGGCUUGAAGUGCAGAUGGAGAUCCAUGACAAAUGGUGUCCCUCAGGGGACCGUAGUGGGACCAGUGCUGUCUAAUGUCGUCAUCGAUGAUGUCGGCAGUGAGAUUGAGUGCACCCUCAGCAAGUUUGCCGGUGACACUAAGCUGAGUGGUGCACUUGCCAUACCAGAGGGACGGGACGUCAUCCAAAGCAACCUGGACAGACUGGAGAAGUGGGUCUCUGAGAAACUUAUGAGGUUCAUCAAGGCCAAGUGCAGUGUCCUACACCUGGGUCAGGACAAUCUGCAGCUUCAGUACAGGAUGGGGAAUGGCAUGAUUGAGAGCAGCCCUGCAGAGAAAGACUUUGGGGUUGCUGAUUGAUGAGAAGCUUGACAUGAGCCAGCAACGUGCAUUCGCGGCCCUGAAAGCCAACAGUGUCCUGGGCGGCAUCAAAAGAAGCGUGGCCAGCGAGUUGAGGGAGGUGAUCCUUCUCCUCUACUACAAUCUCAUACGACCUGCUCCUGGCGUAUUGUGUCCAGUUCUGGUAUCCCCAACAUUAGAAGGACAUGGAACUGUUGGAACGGUUCCAGAGGAGGGCUACGACGAUGAUCAGAGGGCUGGAGCACAUCCCAUGUGAGGACAGACUGAGAGAGUUGGGGCUGUGCAGCCUGGAGAAGAGAAGGCUCUGAGGAGACCUUAUAGUGACCUUCCAGUAUCUGAAGGGGCUGCAGGAAAGCUGGAGAGGGACUUUUUACAAGGGAAUGUAGUGAUAGGACAAGGAGAGAUGGCUAUAAAUGAGAGAGGGGAAGAUUUAGAUAAGAAAUUGGUAAGAAAUUCUUUCACAAUGACGGUGGCAAGACACUGUAAUGGGUUAUCCAGGGAAGCUGUGGCUGCCCCAUCCCUGGAAAUGUUCAAGGCCAGGUUGGCUGGGGCCUUGAGCAGCCUGAUCUGCUGGGAGGUGUCCCUGCCCAUGGCAGGGGGGGUUGAAACUAGAUGAUCUAUGAUUCUGUCAUUCCAUAUUAGAAAAUAUGAUGCAAUUUGACACAGCCUGCUUUUGGAGAAUUAAAUGAAAACAUUUCUGUUGGGUCAGUUAAAUAGGGGGAGCUAGCUUCCUGACUGAUGUUUGUUAUGUCAGGUUAGACAGAAGGAACUGCAGGCGUCUGUAGCACCUCAGAUGCUAUUAAAAGAAAAUAAGUUUCUAUGUCUGAAAGCAAUUCAGGUGAUUUUCACUUCCACCAAGUCUCAGUUCUUGACAGUGCAGACUUGUGAGCUAAUUAAUAUUCUAAGUUGCUUCCUUUAACCCUUUAGACAUUCACACUUUGGAAGAUUUUUGUGUUGUGUGGCUGUUUUCUGGCACUGGUAGUAGAUAAUAAUUAAGUGCAUGAGAAGAAAGCUUGCUUUCCCUUCUCUGAACUCACGUUUUAGAAAGAAUGACAUCAGCUGCUAAUUCAGCUUGUGUCGAUAACGGGAUACAUCAGACCUAGUAAAGGAUGACGUGCUUGCCAUUCAUUCAGAAGCAAUAUCGGUGUUAUGUCAAGUUAUCUGUGGGCUACUUAAGGCCACUCUAUCUUACUGCAUACAAAUGAAAGCCUGCAUACAAAAGAAAAGAUGUAGAAAAUGUGUGGAUAAAGGGAAGAAUUGUGGCUUUAUAAAGUAGGAAAAAACUGCUGUUAGGUGCUGUGUUGCAGUCACCUCUGUGCCAAAUUUUAGUGCAGAAAUCUACUUGAUGAAAUUGAUACUAAUUUUUCUGCCUCAUCCUACACACAUGAUAUGUUAGCUGACAGUUAAAACAGUAUAUUAGGAAAAGCUAUCUUUGUGCAUCCUAAUGUCCUUUUCUAAGAUCAUGGUUAUAAUAUGUAUGUUGAGUGACAAAAUCAAGCAAAACAACGGCGGAUCGUUUGACUUUUUCUUUGAAUCUAGAGAAUUUUAUGUAAGAUUUUCCAAGAUUACAGAUAUCCUCUACAAAAUCUGAAUUAUAUGCCUUUGAUCCUGUCCUCCUAGUGACCUCUCUUAAAAAAAUAGAUGUGUGUGGAAAGUAUAAUCUGUGAUGUUGAACCAUCACAGCAUGGACAGACCGUGCUACGACUGAACCAUGCUGCUGGCCAUCUUCUCAGCAGUAGCUAAGGCAAAUGAGAACAUGACCUGGAGGAAAAGUGAGGAAACUGAAUGCAGAGCUUAGGACAUCAUAAGUGGGCAGAGGGGCAGAAACGACAGGAUGUCAAGGACAGCCUGAGAGAACAGGCAUGGACAAAGACGUAUGCAAAAAAAUGGGAAGUGUUUGAUAAAUUUCUAGGGAGACAAAUGGCAAAACCAGCAUAGCUGGUGACUACAAGCACACUUCCUUUAGAAAAGUUCUCCUUCCUAGUACCAGACAAGCCUAGGAAUGUAAGAUUGAAUAAACCAACAAAGACAUGUGAGCAUUGCAUCUGUCUCUGAGAAGCACAUAAGAAUCAGAUACAGGAAAAACCUGUUCUCCAGAUCACAGCCAGCUCUCUUCAUUGUUACUUAAGGUUUGGAAAGCAUCUAGAAAGAAAUUUUUCAGGUGAUAGACAGCUCUUCAUGCAUAUGUUGGGUGGUAGGUCAGUAAAGAACAAAAUCAACAGAUGUGAGUAAAAAUGAUACAGUGAGGAAGAGUCAUCACAUGAGUAGUGUUGCCACACAGAUCUGUAGGAGUUACUUCAAGGAAUCAGUAAACUUACGGAAAGAGUGAAAUGAUGUUCUUGGAGUUUAAAACAAUGUUUCCCCAUACCAGCAAUACCUGAAAAGACUAGGAGGAAAAAGCACUAGACCUGUUGUAGACCAACAAUUGCUUUAACAAGAAGUAAAGAAACAUGAAUAUUGUUCAGCUAUAACAGUGUAAGGAGGAAAUUCUGCUAAGAUAAAUGUUGUUCUAGAUACUAAUAAAAGCAAAACGAGUGCUUAGUGAGAUGAGAAUCAUUGCUGAUAUUUCUUAACGAGGAAUCUCAAAAUGAGUUCUCAGAAUUGUAGAAUAACAUUUUAAGCAAUAUUAAGUAGCAGAUAAUAAAAGUUGAUAAAAGCAAAACAAUAGCUACUUUAUGUACAUAUUGUUUGAUUGCAAUGUUCCCAUGAGAUGUCAUUAAACCGAGAACUAACUGCUCCAGCACCUUGUGAAUACCAAAGUGUUGACAAGCUUGAAAGGUAGUGAUGUAAAUUCACAACAGAAAGUCUGCCAGUAUCAAGUACUGAUUAAAGCCUUUGUCUCAAGGACAGAUUAAUCCAAGGGUGGUUCAAAUCAUGGCUUAUAUCCCCAAAGCAUACCACUGUGUGUCUGUCAUGCUCUAAUUCCCUUUCCUGAUCAUCUGCGAAGAGCUACUAUCAAAAACAUGUUAAAUUAGUCUGUCUAGCUAGUUCUUUAAUCUGAAAGUGACUCUUUUAUGUUUGUUGUGAAAAAUGGUGCCUCAAAGAUAAACCUUAAUUGAAUCUCAGGAUCAAAUAAUCACAGAUCUAUCCAUAUGGUUAGACCUGAUGAUCUUACAGGUCUUUUCCAACUUUAUCAAUUGUAUGAUUCUGCAAUUCUAUGAUUCUAUGAAUGUUUUGUUGUUCUCUUUCUUGUGGGUUAAUACUGCAAUAAUUAUAGAAGAGCUAGGUAAUACUGAUUGGUUUGUUUCAAGAUAUUUGUCCCCACAUAUGACUAAAAGACUUUUGACAUCAAGAGAAAGUAAUAUACACUUUGCCUAUUUUUUAAUUUUUCCCAAUGAAAAAUACCGAGUAGCAAUCAUUUAUAUACCUCCUCAAGCCACCAGUGUUUUUACUAAUAUAUGUAUUAUCCUUCACUCAUCUUUGCUUUAUAUUUUUAGUGGGGUUUUUAUAUGAAGUUAAGUGGGAAGACGAAUGCCGUAACCGUAAGUGUCCCUGCUUCCUUCUCCUUUCUCUCAGCUUUUACUGGUGAGAAGGAUGCUCUGUGGAAUGAUAUAUUCCUUUGAUAAGUUUGGGUCAGCUACGCUCUGAACGCCUUGGCCACUCUGAGUUUACUUGCUGGGGAGACAGAGUAGGGAGGAGAAAGCCUUGAUGCUGUGCAAGCACUGUUCAGCAACAGCCAAAAUGCUGCUGUGUUAAUAAAAUGCUGCUGUGUUAAUAAAAUGCUGCCGUGUUAAUAAAAUACUACUGUGUUAAUACUGUUUUAGCCACAACUUUGAAGCACAGCACUGUCUGGGUUGCUGUGAAGGACAUUAAUUGUGUCCCAGACAGAUCCAGCACAACAUCUUACAAGGCUGAGCCUCCUUUCCAACACCAAUCCUGAAAUUGACCACAAAAUCUCCUUUUUUCCUAUAUAACUCUCAUAAAACUGUCAGGCUUCUUGCCAUCCAAGUUAAUUGACAGUCAAUUUCUAGUAAGAGUCAAACCCCCAGAUACUUAACUAUUUAGCAAGUAUUUAAACAUGAAAGAACAAGUCUUAAGAAAUCAAUGAAUAUUCCUUCUCCCGAGAACAAUAUAAAAUGUAUAAUUUUUUAAGGUAUUCAUUCAAUGUAUGGCGAUAGGUGAGGCAAACAUGUUUCUUUUGGGAUUUUACAGUUUUUAAAAUUAUCUGUAUUUGCCACUGGUAAUUUUCAAGGUUUUCAGGAUUUCUGUAACUAAACAUAUUUCAUCCAAGGUGAAGAAGCCAUACAGCAGAUUAACGCCUCUUACUUGCUUUUUCAUUUCUCUUCCAUACACCUUAGCAGAAGGUUAAACACAAUUUUCCACUUUCAGUUUAAGGCCCAGCUGGGAAACUGAUCUAUGGUCCAUCUUGUAAUGUAUUUGCUUGCGGAUGACAGGGAAGCAUGUGACCGGAGUGCAGUGUCACUGAGAUGUGAGCGGGAUGUUGGAGAAGUACAAGAACAGCGACAGACAUGCUUUCAGGGCCAGUUCAGAUCUGAGAUAGCCUUAAAUGUCCUCUCUGUAUAAAGAACAGCCUGAGCUAAAGGAUUUCUCCUAAUUCGGCAUCACAGUAAGAUACUGGAAAUUAGCAUCACGACGGACCUGGACCAUCUUUUCUUCUCUGGCCCUUUCAAACAAGGAAGGACAAGGAUGCAAGGCUUGAAACAUCAAAUUAUAUCACUCAUAAAAGAAGGGAGGUCUUUGCUUCCUGGAAGGGAUUAUGUCAGAGAUCUUUCCUUAUAUAUGCCUACAGAGUCACUAGGAGAGGAUGUAUUUCUUCCUGAUUGAAUUCACUGAUUGAAUGUUAGUAGAGCAGAACUACUGUGUGACUCAAGCUCAAAAGUAGAAGCAACUACUUCAAAUCAAAGACCUAUUCAAAAGCUGACGAGCUACAGUAACUGAGUCAUUUUUUCUGUCUGUUUUCUGAAAAGCAGCUAGAAGGUACUAUCAUCAAUAUGCCUGAGCUCACAGAAUGUAAAAGCAACCAAAGUGCAGAGUCCAUUGGGGAGUGGACAUGGGUGAAGGCCAGCUGACAUGCCGUCAGAUCUCUUCAAAGCCUUUCAUCCACAGGAAACGUCACUGACUCUUGUGAGGCUGUCCAAGGAAGGCUGACCUGCCAUUCCCCAACAGCCUCCAGAAAGACAGCACCUACUGUCUUUAACAAAGCACGACCCAAACAGCUGCUCCUCUGCAUCACUAGCAGUUGCCCUUCUGCGUUAUCUUGAGCAAUGCUGCAAUCCUUAGAAGAACGUCCAUUUGGCAACAUUAUUAAUCUAGUAAAAGAAGGUAAAUAGACAUAAACUGUUGGGGUUUAUAUUUUCACUAAGAAGUGUGGCAGCUUUUGUGACUACUUGGUGGGGCCUGGAGUUUUUGCUUUUAGAGCUACUUCCCAACAUGUAAAUUAUAGUAGAAUUUAGCUAUUGUUUGCAGCUUUUUAUCUGCACUCAGACACACUUCAGUCUUUAGAUUACGUUUACUUCAACAGCUCCUGAGAACACUUUGGAAGGUGAUGGAAUAAAAAAUCCUGGAAGCCUUUUCCAGGCAUAUGUAGAACAAGACGCUAUUUAGGACUAGUCAGCAUGGGUUCACAAAGAAGUUGUUGUUCUUGACCGACUUGAUAACCUAUGAUGAAAUGACUGGCCUAAUAUGUAUGUGGAUAUUCCCCAUUUGACUACUGAGACUUCAUCAAGGCUUUUAACACUGUCUCCCCUAAGUUACUUGCAGAGAAACUGAUGAAGUUUGGACUGGGUCUGCACAUAGCAAGAUGGAUAGAAAAUUGAACGGAUGGGCCCAGGGGAUUGUGAUCAAUAGCAUGAAGUCCAGUUGGAGGCCACUUGAAGGGUGGUUAAAAUCAAGGGCCCAUCCUGUGAGCCAUCCUAGCACUGAGGAUCAGCGUUUAGAAACAAAGCCUUAAUGUAAGGCUUCAAGGUUGAGGUGAUUUCAGAGGAAUUUUGCUGUGUUGUGAGAAUGAGGGACCUGGCUCAAGAAAACCAGAACCAAGCAUGGGAACAAGAUGUGUAAUUUAUCAAUGUAACUUUGCGAUUAGAAUGUUUUGUAAAUAUCUUCAUUCCAUGGAAACAUGUAACUUGAGAAAUGUAACCAAUCACUGUCUGUUGUUAGGAUGUGUUCUACCAAUCAACAAUUAACAUGAUUACUAAUUAGUGUUUAGUUAGGUAU
Molecule: long non-coding RNA, 7199 nt
Organism: Cuculus canorus (common cuckoo)
Lineage: Eukaryota; Metazoa; Chordata; Aves; Cuculiformes; Cuculidae
Exons: 6
Source: RefSeq, a predicted model, not a curated record